Molecule: long non-coding RNA, 1008 nt
Filed under: Parus major (Great Tit)
Lineage: Eukaryota; Metazoa; Chordata; Aves; Passeriformes; Paridae
Description: lncRNA (ENSPMJG00000012898.1)
Source: RNAcentral
AGGCUGGGGAGGAAUCGACCUAAUCUGUGCAUUCAUGUCAUUUAUUCAAUGUACAAAUGCCUUAAAAAACCAGCAGUCACUUACUUCAAACAUGCAGUCUACCCAAAUGGUAGAGAGAGGACUGGAAAGUGCACUUUCCCUGCCCCCUAAGCCUUCAGGGUGCUCACUGCUGUGACCGCCUGGACCCUUGGAGCCUUGCCGUGUGGCACUGGCCCCGUCCGGCUGGGAUGUUUAACCCAUGUUCCCCGCAGGGCUGGGAUGUGUCCGAGCUCCUCCACGUCCAGCCGCUAGAGGACAGCAGCGGGGUGUCCCACAGCCAGCUGCUGGUCACUUGUCACAGCCCGCAGGCACCGCGGCUGUCCGCCCGGGUACAAACACACCCAGCUUCCCAGAAAGUAGUCUGUACCCAUCAGAGCAAGGAACUGAUAGCUCAGCAUCAGUGUGCCUGAGUUACAGCUCUCUCCUGAUGACAACAACUCGCAGGCUGGGGAAGGGAUAUACAUCACCUGUAUGACCAUACAGCCCUCUGGAAGAAGUUAUUUCCUCUUACGGCUGAUUUAUCGUUAGCGAGGUAAGUGGAGGACAGGAACAGAUACUUGACUCAUCAACAUUUUUUCAGUCCCAUUUGGCACCCAGCUCUUAGUGUAUGUUACCUUGCCUGAUGUUAUGAAGCCUCGAUGUGACCUCUUUUAUUUAGAUAUUUAAUCUGGAAAAUCAAUACCCUGCGCUUUUGAUUGCAAAACCAGGAGUCACACCUGGUUAAUGCAUUACAGUCCCACACGGACUGAGAAGGGAGCCCAUUUAUAACCACAAAACUGCAACUUCAGAACUUUUCUAUGGAUUUGACAUGAGAAACAGUUGUAUUGUAUGAAUGUCAGCAAAAUAUCUUCCUUCAAAAUUAGAGGAGUAUAAACAAGAAAGCGCUGAGUUGCCAGAAGACCAAAAUUCAACACAUUAAACCAGUGAGGAAGCAAAAUAAAUAAAGGUCUGGUUCCUUUCUAAUGCGCA